GGUAUUUUGACCGUGCAAAGGUAGCGCAAUCACUUGUCUUUUAAAUGAAGACCUGUAUGAAUGGCAUUACGAGGGCUUGACUGUCUCCUCCCUCCAGUCAAUGAAAUUGAUCUCCCCGUGCAGAAGCGGGGAUACUAACAUAAGACGAGAAGACCCUGUGGAGCUUUAAAUUAAGAGUAGACCCUGUCAAUGAUAACCCCACAAAAAGAAUCAAACCAAAGGGAUUACUACUCUAAUAUUUUUGGUUGGGGCGACCACGGGGGAAAAGAAGCCCCCACGAGGACUAGGAAAAACUUCCUGAAACUAAGAGCCACAGCUCUAAGAAACAGAAUUUCUGACCUAACAGAUCCGGCAACCAAGCCGAUCAACGGACCGAGUUACCCCAGGGAUAACAGCGCAAUCCCCUCUCAGAGCCCCUAUCGACGAGGGGGUUUACGACCUCGAUGUUGGAUCAGGACAUCCUAAUGGUGCAACCGCUAUUAAGGGUUCGUUUGUU
RNAcentral lists this ribosomal RNA (496 nucleotides) under Guentherus altivela (highfin tadpole fish). RNAcentral describes it as "partial 16S ribosomal RNA". It matches the Rfam family "Bacterial large subunit ribosomal RNA", at positions 1935 to 2581 of the family's 2925-position model. The record is from RNAcentral. Lineage: Eukaryota; Metazoa; Chordata; Actinopteri; Ateleopodiformes; Ateleopodidae.